RNAcentral lists this ribosomal RNA (375 nucleotides) under Triticum aestivum (bread wheat). Its description in RNAcentral is "partial small subunit ribosomal RNA". Lineage: Eukaryota; Viridiplantae; Streptophyta; Magnoliopsida; Poales; Poaceae. The record is from RNAcentral.
AUGUCGAGCUGCACGUUGGGGAUCGCGGUAUGCAAGGACGCCAAGUUAUUUUCAAGACCUAGGCGCAUGCUGGAUUUUGUACCGAUACACACCUUGAGUCUACUGGCUAUGCUGUCAUUUGCUAAUUUAGAAGCAUGGGAAAAGUUUACCUCCAUAUUAGCCGCAAAGACAUCUGUCAUGUCCUUCAAGCCCUGGUUCAUGGCAUUGACUUGCUCCCUUGCUGCUAUGAGGAAGCCCCUUGGCAUCACGUCAAUGUCGGGUUCGUCUAGGAUUUCUUGUCAUUCUGGCCGGGAAGGGUUGACGCAGCCUCAGAAGUGGUCACACACAUUUUCACGUAGGCUUUUGGUACAACAGCCAUGCCAAGCGUGGCAGUAG